GCCGCGUGUGUGAAGAAGGCCUUCGGGUUGUAAAGCACUUUUGUCCGGAAAGAAAUCCUCUGGGUUAAUACCUCGGGGGGAUGACGGUACCGGAAGAAUAAGCACCGGCUAACUACGUGCCAGCAGCCGCGGUAAUACGUAGGGUGCAAGCGUUAAUCGGAAUUACUGGGCGUAAAGCGUGCGCAGGCGGUUUUGUAAGACGGAUGUGAAAUCCCCGGGCUUAACCUGGGAACUGCAUUCGUGACUGCAAGGCUAGAGUAUGGCAGAAGGGGGUAGAAUUCCACGUGUAGCAGUGAAAUGCGUAAAGAUGUGGAGGAAUACCGAUGGCGAAGGCAGCCCCCUGGGCCAAUACUGACGCUCAUGCACGAAAGCGUGGGGAGCAAACAGGAUUAAAUACCCUGGUAGUCCACGCCCUAAACGAUGUCAACUAGUUGUUGGGGAUUCAUUUCCUUAGUAACGAAGCUAACGCGUGAAGUUGACCGCCUGGGGAGUACGGUCGCAAGAUUAAAACUCAAAGGAAUUGACGGGGACCCGCACAAGCGGUGGAUGAUGUGGAUUAAUUCGAUGCAACGCGAAAAACCUUACCUACCCUUGACAUGUACGGAAUCCUGCUGA
Molecule: ribosomal RNA, 615 nt
Filed under: Pandoraea sp. N4b33_2
Lineage: Bacteria; Pseudomonadati; Pseudomonadota; Betaproteobacteria; Burkholderiales; Burkholderiaceae
Description: bacterial SSU rRNA
Rfam family: Bacterial small subunit ribosomal RNA
Source: RNAcentral